Long non-coding RNA from Anolis carolinensis (green anole), 8252 nucleotides. RefSeq lists it as uncharacterized. The record is from RefSeq and is a predicted model, not a curated record. The transcript has 2 exons. NCBI's taxonomy places the organism in Eukaryota, Metazoa, Chordata, Lepidosauria, Squamata, Anolidae.
UGCGCCGAAGGGCCCGGCCUCUCUGGGCGCGCCUCCCUGGCUGAAAGGCCGCAGGUGAGGGAGGAGCCCAGGCUGGAGACCCAGGCAGAGACAGUGGAUGACACUAUGGAACACCAGCCUGGACGCAACAUAUCAUUUGAGAACACAGAAAUGCUGGAAAUCUCUAACCACCACCAUGUCAGACUACACAGAGAAGCCACUGAAGCAUGUGGACAAUUUCAACAGAAAGGAGGAAACCAUGAAAAUGAACAAAACCUGGCUACCAAUAAUUAAAAAAUUCUAAAAUCAGGUCAGUAAAUAAAGAGCAACACCUAAGCAACAGGAAUUCCAGUCAUUAAACAAUCGGGGCCAGUUUCAGCCCAGGUUGGGAUGAGCUCCAACCAUCAGCUCAGCUUCUGCUCACCAAGCAGUUUGAAAACAGCAAUGUAAGUAGAUAAAUACUGGGCUGUGGCGCAGGCUGGUGAGCAGCCUGCUGCGAUAAAUCACUCUGACCAUGAGAUCAUGAGUUCGAGGCCAGCCUGUGGCGGGGUGAGCACCCGUCAAUUAAAAAAAAAAUAGCCCCUGCUCGUUGCUGACCUAACAACCCGAAAGAUAGUUGCAUCUAUCAAGUAGGAAAUAAGGUACCACUUAUAAAGUGGGGAAGCAAAUUUAACUAAUUUACGACAUUGGAAUGAGGAAGUGCCGUGACAGUGGACGAUGAAGCAGCUGCUCCCCCCUGUGGCCAGAAUCGAACAUCCCCUCAGGAGAAGUCUCUUACCGCCUUUCUGGAUGGCAUCUGCUCCGCAGCCAGGCCGGGAUGGGAGGAGGAAGGGCCUCAUUCCAGAUGGAUCACUGGGCACCCUGACCAGGGAAGGAGGUGGACGCACGAUGGAGACAGCAGUCCCAGGAAGAGGAUGGAUCUGAAAAGAGAAAGUUAAAGGUAAAGGCUUCCCCUGACAUUAAGUCUAGUCAUGUUCGAAUCUGUGGGUUAGUGCUCAUCUCUAUUUCUAAGCCUCAGAGCCGGCAUUGUCCGUAGAUACCUGCUAGGCCAUGUGGCCGGCAUGACUCCAUGGAGCGCUGUUACCUUCCUGCCAGACCAGUAUAUAUUGAUCUACUCACAUUUGCAUGUUUUUGAACUGAUAGGUUGGCAGAAUCUGGGGCUAACAGUGGGAGCUCACCCCACUGGCUGGAUUCGAACCACUGACCUUCUGGUCAGUAGGUUCAGCAGCUCAGUGGUUUGAUCCACUGCGCCACCGGGUGCAUCCCUCCCUCUAUUUUCCCAACUCACCUUAAUCUUCUAGAUCUUCAAUAAUUAGACUUGGUUCUUUUUCACUAAAAGAAACAAAAAAAUUGUUAGUACAUAACACCCAAAGACUCCCCCAGCCCAAAAAAAGGCCCAACCCACACCCAAAAAGUGAGAAGAAGUUACCUCGAUUCCUGGGACUGCUGACUCCACCGUGCGUCCUCAUCACUUCCACUGGCCAGGGUGCUCUGUCAAGGAAAGAGAAGAGCAAAGUGAAAUCCCGUCCUCCCCUUCCCCUUUGCAGGAAGACAGGGCGCCUGCAUUUCGCUCCUUACCCAGGACUCCUCGGAUAGACUGGGGCCCUUCCUCCUCGCAUCCUGGCCGGGCUGCGAAACAGAUGCCAUCCAUUGGUGCUGUGGAAGGAAGAGAAGAGACUUAGUUGAAAUUCUGGUCCCCUCCUCUUCGCAGAAGUACAAUCCUCUUGCCUUCCCUUCUUACCCAGGUCUCCAUUUCUGUGAUCUCAUCGGAGGAGGAGGCCUCCAGAUCUUCCUUUGGAGGACUAGAGAAGAGGAAGAGAAAACAGCAAAACAUUAGUCACAGAACCCUGUGAAGCAAUUUAGAAGGGAAAAAAACAACCAGAAGAGAAGGGGGAAGGGCUUACCUUACAGGGUAUAUUUUAAUACUCCUCCUCCCCCGACAGCAUUUGCAACAAUUUAAACAUAAUUUCUGGAUGUUCUGCAAAAGAGAAAGGAGAACAAGGUUUGUAGGUUGUGUUUCUUCAUCAGUUUGCCUAUGCGGUCAAGGUUGGACUUCUGCAAUGCUAACGAAGAAACACAACCUAGAAACUAUCUACAGACCCACUAAGAAAAUCCAACAAAUGCUCCAUUCAGCAAAGGAGAAGAGGGAUCCUCUCACCUCUGCAGGAGUCUACCGUAUACCAUGCAGCUGUGGACAAGUCUACAUAGGGACCACCAAACGCAGCAUUGCCCAGAAACGAGUCAAAGAACAUGAAAGGCACUGCAGACUAACUCAACCAGAGGAAUCAGCCAUAGCAGAGUACUUGAUGAACCAACCUGGACACAGUAUAUUAUUUGAGAACACAGAAAUGCUUGACCACUCCAACAACUAUCAUGUCAGACUACACAGAGAAGCCAUUGAAAUCCAUAAGCAUGUGGACAACUUCAACACAAAGGAGGAAACCAUGAAAAUGAACAAAAUCUGGCUACCAUUGUUUAAAAAAACCCUCCAAAAUCAGAACAGUAAAUAAGAAGCAGCACUCUGAAAACAGAAGAAUUCCAGACAGAAAUCAAUCAGGGACAGCUAAUGACUCUGAACAAAGGAUUCCCCCAGGCCAGGAUGUGAGGCUGGGAGGGCCAUUUAAUGCUAACAAAGGUUAUUAAUUACAACAUUCACACUGGCCUCCAACAGACAAGAGUUCUUCCCCCCACCUAGGAACUUCCACAGAUAUAUAAACCUUCCUUGCUUAGUUUCUCCAUACCUCACAACCUCUGAGGAUGCCUGCCAUAGAUGUGGGCGCAAUGUCAGGAGACAAUACUUCUGGAACAUGGCCAUACAGCCCGGAAAACACACAACAACCCUUUAGAGAAGCUAUUUUUUUGGUUUUUCUUAUUUUGCAACCUAGUUUUGGUCCCUCUUUUUUGUAAAAUUGUUCUAAUAGUACUUGAAGAAAUGAGAGGAGGAGGAAAAAGAGGAAGAAGUCUUUUGGGUAAUUAACAGACCAUGAGGCAACACAUUAAUAUUUAUUAGAACAAAAUAAAGAAAUCAUCUUAAAUACAAAUAUCAUUAGAAAAAAAUACAAUAAUAUAAAACAUAUGUUAUUUCCGAUAUCACAGUUUGUUGUGGAGUCACAGGCCAAUGCGGGUAUAAUUCAAAAGUAUUAUUUAAUAUCCAUAAAAAUAGUAUGAAAGAUUGAUUACAUUUUAAACUGGAGAACAGAUCCAAAUGCUAUUAAUGUAACAUAAUCUUAUGGGUUUUAACAGCAGAAAAUAAGUUUGCAAAUACUUCCGUUCUCAGAAGCCACCAAUUUCUGUAAAAGGACAGAGGAAUGGAGAGUUGGGAUCCCUCUCUGCAAGAAGUCCAGAUCCAACCCAAAGUGAACUGCUCAGGUAUUCUCAAACUGGUUCGUAAACCUGUUUGGAGCACCGUUUCUUGCGAUAAACCAAAUGACUAAUGAAAUUGUAAUUAUCUUCUGAUUCUCCUUGUGGAGAUUCUUUUUGGUAUGGGCCAUCAUUCCUUUCUAUGAGCCCCAAAUGCAAUAAAAUAGUCCAGAUAUAUACCCCACAGGCUUACUGUGACAAAUAGACUGUAGGGGACAUUCCCCUUACAGAUGGUCCUAUUUUCCAACACAAAUGCUGCUUCCCAGACAUUAAACUGAUUGGAAUAAUCUAAAAUAUGCCUCAUUUUCCAUGAGGAAUCCCAACCUAGCAAAUAAAACAAUAUGUUAUCCAUGUUUCCUGCAAUGCUUCAAAGUGUAGAUGACCAAACAACCAGGUAUCGGCAGGCGGCCCCUUUAAUUUCCAUUCCACCUAAGUCACAGAGACUACAAAAACAACAUUUUAAUUUAAAAUUCAAUUUCUGACUCUGCAUCUUUUCACUGGCACUGCCACAGAGCGGGUAUUUCAUUAAAGGGUUUAAUAGAUUUUGUGAGUUGUUAGAUUCAAAAAGGUUAUGCAUUCUCUCUGCUUCCAGGAUUCAGACAGCAGUCCAGUAAACAAAUUUACCACGAAAAUAGAGGCAGGAUGCUGAAAAGGGGGAGGAUGGACACCCCCAUGGAUAUAGUUAUGUAUGGAGGGGGCAGACCCAUUUGUUCCAUUUACUGAUCAUGUUGACAUCAGGGCUUUUGAAAAAAAGAGUCUGUGAUGAAAUUUAUUUGAAAAGCAUUCCCAAUAAUGACAGAUUUAAAACAAGCUUCUCCAGGACUGAUUGGUAAACUCUUAAAGAACUAGCCAAUGACAAAAACAUCAUAUGGAAACCUGCUGACAAGGGGGGUGCCAUCGUUGCAAUGAACACAACGAAUUAUAUGCAGGAGGUAUAUAGACAACUGUCAGUCAAAGAGCAUUAUUCUCUUGUAGAUAAAGUCCCGACCAAACAUAUUCAAUUCAUCAUAAGAACCAUAAUUCUGGAAGGACUUAGUUUAGAUUAUAUCACAGAAAAAGAAAAAAGAUUUCCUUAUGACCUCACAUCCAUGCAUUCCGGUCUUAUAGACACUACCUAAAAUACACAAAGACAUCAGGCCACCUUUGGGCCGGCCCAUUGUAUCUGGGUCUGGCUCAGUCCUCGAACCACUAUCCAGAUUGGUUGACUCUUUUUUACAGCCCUUUGUCAAACAAACUAUGUCAUAUAUCAAGGACACCAAACAUUUCAUUAACAUCAUAGAGAAACAGAGUAAUAUGGGACAGAUGAGACAAUAGGGGAUAUGCAACCCAAAAUAGAGUUUGGCUACUCUCAACAAAUUCAAGUCUCCAGAGCCAGAUGAACGAUGUCCAUGAAUAUUGAGGGAACUGGCAGAAGUCAUUUCAGAACCACUGGAAAUAAUCUUUGAGAAUUCUUAGAGAACAGGAGAAGUCCCAGCAGAUUGGAGGAAGGCCAAUGUUGUCCCUAUCUUCAAGAAGAGAAAAAAAGGGCGCUAACUAUUACUGUGCAGGCAGCCUGACGUCAAUACCAGGAAGGAUUCUGGAGCAGAUCAUUGAGGAGGCAGUUUGCAACCACUUAGAAAAGAAUGCUAUGAUCACUAAAAUUCCCCAGUGAUUCUCAAAACAGGUCACGCCAGACUAAUCUUAUCUGGGAAAGAGAAAGUUGAGAGGGGACACGAUAGUCUUGUAUAAAUAUUUGAAAGGAUAAGGUAGAGGGAGCAGGCUUGUUUCCUGCUGCCCUGGAGAUUAGAACUCGGAGCAGUGGGUUAAAAAUUACAGGAAAGGAUAUUCCACUUGAUCACUAGGAAGAACUUUCUGACUAUAAGAGCUGUUCAACAUUGGAAUUCACUGCCUCAGAAUGUGGUGGAAGCUCCUGCUUUGGAGGCUUUUAAACAAAGCCUGGAUGGCUAUCUGUCAGGGGUACUUUGUGCUUCUCCUGCAUGGCAGAGGGUUGGACUAGAUGGCACAUGUGGUCUCUUCCAACUGUUCUUACAGAUAAUCUAGGUCUCUGUAACGGAUUGGCCUACCUUGCAGGGUUGGUGUGUCAAGACAGAUCAAGGCCUUAGUAAGAAAGACAAAGCCAGGCAAGGGGAGGAGUGAUCAGGCAGCUCCACUCUAUGGAAGUGCAGUCUGAUUGGUUGGUGCAAUUGGAGGGAUUUGCUUAGCAAGAGGAGGUAGGCAGGGCCAGCAAGACAGGAAUUGCUCUUCAACCAGAAAGCGAGUGAGUUAGGGAUUGGAGUGAGAAGAAUCCGAGUUUGGAGUUUUGAAAAGGAAGGAAGGAAGGUUUUGGGAACUGUUAGUGAGAAAGCUCUUUGAGGGAAAAGUUAAACUAGGGCUAGGAAUUGUAGCGAGCCUCUAUGGGUGAAUAGUGCUUGUGUUAAGAGCCUCUGGAAGAGAGGACUCAAACGUUCAAAAAGCCUGUAAGAAAAUCCCACAGACAGACUACAAAAAGAGGCACAACUAUGUGGCCCAAAUGAUUCAUUGGAACUUAUGCCUCAAGUACCACCUGCCAGCAGCAAAGAACUGGUGGGGUCACAAACUUGCAAAAGUAUUGGAAAAUGAGCAUGCAAAGAUACUGUGGGACUUCUGAAUCCAGACUGACAAAGUUCUGGAACACAACACUACAGACAUCACAGUUGUGCAAAAGAAAAAGGUUUGGAUCAUUGAUGUUGCCAUCCCAGGUGACAGUUGCAUUGACGAAAAACAACAGGAAAAACUAAGCCGCUAUCAGGAUCUCAAGAUUGAACUUCAAAGAUUCUGGCAGAAACCAGUGCAGGUGGUCCCGGUGGUGAUCGGCACACUGGGUGCCGUGCCAAAAGAUCUCAGCAGGCAUUUGGAAACAACAGACAUUGACAAAAUUACGAUCUGCCAACUGCAAAAGGCCACCCUACUGGGAUCUGUGUGCAUCAUCCGAAAAUACAUCACACAGUCCUAGACACUUGGGAAGUGUUCUACUUGUGAUUUUGUGAAACAAAAUCCAGCAUAUCUAUCUUGUUUGCUAUGUCAUACAAUAAUAAUAAUAAUAAUAAUAAUAAUAAUAAUAAUAAUAAUAAUAAUAAUAACCAAGAACUUACUUUUAGCAGUCUCCGGGCAGACAUGUUUGUCUCUGUACAAGACCAGAAGACAAUAGAGAUGGCAACGUUCCGUUUUGUCUUCCUGUCACAGACGGAACCGGUCUGCUUCGGAACUGCAUUCUCAUGACAAUGGUGUAAACCAAGGGGCCCCAGACUCCAGGGAAGUGAUGGCCCCUUUCUGAACCCAUAUACAUUGGGUAGUUGCCCUACCAAAUUAGAAAACAGUGUUAACAAAUUAAAAAACAAUUAGAAGAAAAAAGUGUCCAACGCAUUAUACAUGGCCUCCAAAAUCAUGACCAGAAGACCUCUCGGAAAUCCACUCAUUUGUAAAAAAACAUUCAAGGGUUGCCACAUCCCCUGUCUGUCUGAGAACAGACGCUGGUCCCACCAGUUACAAACACAUAUUUAGUUAUAUCAUGCAAAAGUGAAUGAAACUACCCAAUCUACAGUUGUCUCUGUUGUCCAAGGCCAUCUUUCACCUAUAUAUGUUUUCUCGUUUCUGGCCAUUCCAGUUAGAUAAGCGAGUGUUGGAUAAGUGAGACUACUGUAUCUUUAAGGUUAAUAAAUAGUACAAAGUAUAGUCCCACAUCAUCAGGAGAUUGAACUCCUUUCAAUUUAAACAAUAUUACAAUAACUGUGAAUUGGUCCAAAAGAUUUAAUUCAUAAAGCCAAAAAAGAGAGAUGUUACUCAAACAUGCUGCAUCAAAUAUAUGCUGAGCUCUGUGUUCACAUGUCAGAAGGAAAACACAGUUGAACCAUUGUCUUUUUUUUUUUUUUUUGCCUUUGACGACAAUGUAACUUUUUCUGGGAGAACUACAAUACUUAUCUAUAUAGGCACGUGAGCUGAAUGUUGCAUUGUGGUACUCUGCACUUUUAAACCCCCCUUAUAAUAAUAAUAUAAUACAUUUUAUUUAUACCCCACCCCCUCUCCCCAAAGUGACUUGGGGAGACUUCCUGAUCUUCAAUAAGCUGUUCCUUUCGUCUUUAUCAAGAAGCUCACAAAUUGCUUGUUCUUGAAGUGGGUGUCCUGGUCAAAGUUUAGUUAUUUUUCAAAGUUGGUUUAUAGCAUCUACAUUUACCGCUAGGAGAGAUCAUCUGGAGGCAUGGGGCAGGGGGCUAUCAGUAUGCUGAUGACACCCAAAGAUGUUUCUCCAUGCCAUGAAAAACACUGUUAUCUCAGGAUAGCGGGUCUCCUUGGAAUGAAUGCCUGGAGGAAGUAAUGGGCAGGAUGAGGAGAAACAAAUUGAAACUGAAUCCAGACAAGACAUCGAGAGCACUAUGGGUGGAUCAACCAGUUCUGGAUAGGGUUACACUCCCCAUUAAAGUCUUUGGUCUCAGCUUGUGGGGGGUGCGCCCCUCGAUCCCUCUCUUGAAAUGUAAGAACAGGAAGAUGUGAUGGUCAGGAGUGCUUAGUACCAGCUUCAGCUGAUACGCCAGUUGUGCCCCUUCCAAGAAUUGCAGGACCUUAAGAAGGCUGGAUUCCUGCAAUGCUCUUUACAUUGUGCUGCCUCUGUACCAAGUUUGGAAAUUCCGAUUAGUUCAAAACAAGGCAGGGAAACUAGUUAUAGGAACAUCUAGGAGUGAUUCCACUGGUUUUGGAAAGCCUACCCAGUCUGUUUUAACUAUGGCUUUUACAUCAUAUUCUGUGUUUUUGUAUUUUAAUAUGUGCAUGUUUUAAAAUAUGCACUUCUGGUUGCAUUUAACUUAGCUUUCUUACAUGAUUUCAUAGAUGUAUUUAAUUAGGUUGUGUCUUCCCUCAGGCCACAUAGAGAGGUAAGCAAUAAAUAAAAGAUGAUGAUUAUG